CCUACGGGCGGCAGCAGUAGGGAAUAUUGGGCAAUGGGGGCAACCCUGACCCAGCCAUGCCGCGUGCCGGAUGAAGGCGCUCAGCGUUGUAAACGGCUUUUAUCUGGGAAGAACUGUAGGGAUGCGUCCUUACUUGCCGGUACCAGAGGAAUAAGCACCGGCUAACUCCGUGCCAGCAGCCGCGGUAAUACGGAGGGUGCGAGCGUUGUCCGGAUUUAUUGGGUUUAAAGGGUGCGUAGGUGGGUUCUUAAGUCUGGUUUGAAAGUCGGCGGCUU
This 275-nucleotide ribosomal RNA is filed under the name uncultured bacterium. RNAcentral's name for it is "partial 16S ribosomal RNA". It matches the Rfam family "Bacterial small subunit ribosomal RNA", at positions 338 to 610 of the family's 1533-position model. The record is from RNAcentral.